CCUACGGGGGGCAGCAGUGGGGAAUAUUGGACAAUGGGGGGAACCCUGAUCCAGCCAUGCCGCGUGUGUGAAGAAGGCCCUCGGGUUGUAAAGCACUUUCAGUGAGGAAGAACGCCUGGUGGUUAAUACCCAUCAGGAAAGACAUCACUCACAGAAGAAGCACCGGCUAACUCCGUGCCAGCAGCCGCGGUAAUACGGAGGGUGCGAGCGUUAAUCGGAAUUACUGGGCGUAAAGCGCGCGUAGGUGGCUUGAUAAGCCGGUUGUGAAAGCCCCGGGCUCAACCUGGGAACGGCAUCCGGAACUGUCAAGCUAGAGUGCAGGAGAGGAAGGUAGAAUUCCCGGUGUAGCGGUGAAAUGCGUAGGGAUCGGGAGGAAUACCAGUGGCGAAGGCGGCCUUCUGGACUGACACUGACACUGAGGUGCGAAAGCGUGGGUAGCAAACAGGAUUAGAUACCCCAGUAGUC
RNAcentral lists this ribosomal RNA (465 nucleotides) under Vreelandella stevensii. RNAcentral's name for it is "partial 16S ribosomal RNA". It matches the Rfam family "Bacterial small subunit ribosomal RNA", at positions 338 to 795 of the family's 1533-position model. Lineage: Bacteria; Pseudomonadati; Pseudomonadota; Gammaproteobacteria; Oceanospirillales; Halomonadaceae. The record is from RNAcentral.